This 405-nucleotide long non-coding RNA is filed under the name Linum usitatissimum (flax). Its description in RNAcentral is "long non-coding RNA (LUSI_LNC001452)". The record is from RNAcentral. Lineage: Eukaryota; Viridiplantae; Streptophyta; Magnoliopsida; Malpighiales; Linaceae.
GUGGAGGGCCGUGGAGGACCACCAGUUGUAGAGGUGGAGUUCGGUGGAGCCGCUGGAGGAGGAGGAGAUGUGAGUGGCGGCGAUAAAAGUGUUGCCAAGCAAGGUUAGGCCGUGGCGAGGUGAGCGGCUACCGGUGAAACGUGCGACGACGGCGCCUGAUGAGGAGUCGUAGGCGGUGAUAGGUCCGUCCGGGGAGCUGGUGAGUAUGAUGUCAGAUGAAGAAGGUGACAUUGCUUGCUUGGCUGCAGAGUAGUGCGGGAUGGCCGGAUGGAAUUAGCAGUACUGCACUCUGCAUGCACUGUGCACAAGUUAAAAGUGAAGAAGUAACGGUAGACCAAAAAUGAGGGAAAAAGUUACUGGCAUCAGAAGACACUUUCUUCUGUUUGGAGGUCACAAUUUUUACAU